This 465-nucleotide ribosomal RNA is filed under the name uncultured bacterium. RNAcentral describes it as "partial 16S ribosomal RNA". It matches the Rfam family "Bacterial small subunit ribosomal RNA", at positions 28 to 507 of the family's 1533-position model. The record is from RNAcentral.
GAUGAACGCUGGCGGCGUGCUUAACACAUGCAAGUCGAACGGAAAGGCUCCUGCUUGCAGGGGUACUCGAGUGGCGAACGGGUGAGUAACACGUGGGUGAUCUGCCCUGCACUUCGGGAUAAGCCUUGGAAACUGGGUCUAAUACCGGAUAGGACGAUGGUUUGGAUGCCAUUGUGGAAAGUUUUUCGGUGUGGGAUGAGCUCGCGGCCUAUCAGCUUGUUGGUUGGGUAAUGGCCUACCAAGGCGUCGACGGGUAGCCGGCCUGAGAGGGUGUACGGCCACAUUGGGACUGAGAUACGGCCCAGACUCCUACGGGAGGCAGCAGUGGGGAAUAUUGCACAAUGGGCGCAAGCCUGAUGCAGCGACGCCGCGUGGGGGAUGACGGCCUUCGGGUUGUAAACUACUUUCGCUAGGGACGAAGCGCAAGUGACGGUACCUGGAGAAGAAGCACCGGCUAACUACGUG